GUCCAGAAGGUCCAGCAGGUCCGGUAGCACCCUGGUCUCCAGCUUGACCCUAAACAGAUAAUGAUUACAUUCAUACAUCAGGGUUUCUGCAGCAUUUUCCAAGUCAAAGGAAGACUUUUUAUUACCUGUCUUAAA
Molecule: long non-coding RNA, 135 nt
Organism: Etheostoma cragini (Arkansas darter)
Lineage: Eukaryota; Metazoa; Chordata; Actinopteri; Perciformes; Percidae
Exons: 4
Source: RefSeq, a predicted model, not a curated record